GGAAGCAUAGCUCAGCUGGUUCAGAGCAUCUGCCUUACAAGCAGAGGGUCCGCGGUUCGAAUCCGUGUGCUUCCACUA
This 78-nucleotide transfer RNA is filed under the name Bacteroidetes bacterium 47-18. RNAcentral's name for it is "tRNA-Val". It matches the Rfam family "tRNA". Rfam says of the family: Transfer RNA (tRNA) molecules are approximately 80 nucleotides in length. Their secondary structure includes four short double-helical elements and three loops (D, anti-codon, and T loops). Further hydrogen bonds mediate the characteristic L-shaped molecular structure. tRNAs have two regions of fundamental functional importance: the anti-codon, which is responsible for specific mRNA codon recognition, and the 3' end, to which the tRNAs corresponding amino acid is attached (by aminoacyl-tRNA synthetases). tRNAs cope with the degeneracy of the genetic code in two manners: having more than one tRNA (with a specific anti-codon) for a particular amino acid; and 'wobble' base-pairing, i.e. permitting non-standard base-pairing at the 3rd anti-codon position. The record is from RNAcentral. Lineage: Bacteria; Pseudomonadati; Bacteroidota.